Molecule: long non-coding RNA, 3486 nt
Organism: Xiphophorus hellerii (green swordtail)
Lineage: Eukaryota; Metazoa; Chordata; Actinopteri; Cyprinodontiformes; Poeciliidae
Exons: 7
Source: RefSeq, a predicted model, not a curated record
UAUACAUAUUUUUCACAGUUUAAAUUUUCAGUGUUAAAAAAUUCAGCAUAUAAAAAAUUUCAACUUUUCAAAAUUCGAAUGCAAUAAUUUCAGUGUCCUCCAAUUCAACUUGCUCAAAUUCGCUGUCUCAAAUUCAACGUCUAAAAAUUCGCUGUAAAAAUGGCGAGGUUACUUCAGGUCACAGACAUUAGCAAUGGAUGUCAGAUUCCAGGACCCAGAUAAUCACGUGACACAACCGUCAUAUUGAAGAAAUACCAGCGUCACCGAGGCUGGCGACCAUGGAGGCGAACGCAAACCCAACGGUGAGUUUAAUGCUUUCAUAUUUCUGUAGUAUAUUUUAUUUUGCGCAUGAAGUUUGAUACAUUACCUUAAAUCUUGAUUUAAAACACGGUUUUGGGCCGUUGUUAAUCUUACACCAUGUAGUGCUGGCAUAUUACCUCUCGCUACCUCCUAGCCCCCCCAGCCCCUCCCCGCUGCCCCACACCCAAUUUACCCCGUUUUAUUUCAAAAAGAAAUACCACUUGCGUCAAGUCUAGAAUCUUGAAAGAGAACUGAUGGGUGGCGACUUUCUGGGUUGUUUGAUGUUGUCUUAGGUGAGACUGAGACAGGCAGUCUUAGUAAAGUGUAAUUUUUCAGGAGAUGCUACCGCUAAUGUACUAAGCUAAUAUGGCUGCUGCCUUGUGUGCUUCAAGGAGGGGCUGUGAACACUUCCGACAUUAAUUAUAACCACAAACCCAUUCUGUUCAGCUACUGUAUUGUUCAGGUGACUUCAUUUAUGAAUGAAUUAAGACAUUUAUUGUCAUUACAACAUCAUCCAAAAUACCAGUUGCCUACCAAACUGUGGAUUUACUUGUGUUUGAUAUAGUUUCUACAGUUUUAAUGGGAGAAGAGCACAGUAGGAUUGCCAUCCUUUUCGUAAAGUACCGAAUCGCCCCGUAUAGGAGACGCUAUUUGUACCGUAUUUCUGUAUGUCCGACAGUACCGCCUAUCACACACAUAUAAACAUUUAGUGUAACAAUAAUUACGAAAAUAAAGCACAAGAUAUGUUAAGGUCAGCUAAAUUGUGGCGGGAGCUAGCAAGGACCCCAGAACGCUUCGGACCAAUGAUGAUGUCACGGUUGCCUAGAGACGGACACUAAGCCCCUUUUGUACUGCACCGCUGGACCUGGGUCGACCCGGCCAGCGGUGCAGUACAAAAGGAGCUUAGCAGUCGUGGUGAGCCGCUCUCAACCUGCGUCUUUUUAAAACGUCCUCAACCGAUACUCUACCAUGUCCUAGCAAAGAUACAGACCUGAGGGGGGAAGACACACAUCCCAGGCUGAACAGUGUCAGUGAGGAUGAAUGCUAGCAAUUUUUUUUAAAAAAUUAAGAGGGGAGCUGAAGAAAUUAUACUGUCUCUUUGUUCUUUAAAACUUAUGGUACUGCAGUUUUAGCUUCUUUCGUGAAAUAGAAUGACACUUUCCAUCUGCUAGAUCAGGGAUCAUUUAAUACAUCUGUUUUUUGUUUCAUCCUUUUGUAAAUAACCCCAUGAAAAAACAUUGACUACUGGCCCCCGUGGUAAAUUUGAUCUGGAACCAGCCUUCACAUACAUAUUUGCACAUAACUUUAUUUCUUGCUGUCUCACUCCACCGGCCAUCCCACCAUAUGAAAGAAGGGUGACAUGGGCGUAGCAUGCGUCCUUAUUUUAAUUUCUGAAAGGUGGCAACCCUACAGCACAGAGUUUUCCUGAGUAAAAGUGAUCAUUCUUAUAAAGUGUAAAUUCCUUUUUAAGUGAUCCUUUUUCAACUGCUACUUUUCUCUUUUAUAUAUUUUGUGACUACAGAGUAGUCAGGAUGCUAUUGUUGAAUCUGCAAGGCACUUGCUUAAUUUACUAACUGAAAGACCACGAAGUGGAGGAAGAGGAGACCUCACCAACCAGAAUGCCAGUCGUAGGGUACCUCAAACUGAACCAUCUGUCCAAAUGGAAAUGAGCAGAUCUUUUCCUGGACUUUACAACAGGGGAAGAGGAAAACGACGAUUUCCUCCAACAAGCCUGGUCCCGGCGAAAAAGAUGAAACCUUUAGAUGUGGUUUUUUAUUUACUACCAAAACAUUAUGAAAAAACGCCAAAAGAAGAUGAUCAACUGAUACACAUGAAAGCGGGAUUGGGCCGGAAAACAGCUCACAUUGAUGAGAGCAUAACGCACAACGAGGUAAUUCCUCAUAAUGCCACAAUUAUUUAAACAGUGGACUAGUCUGAUAAAUCUAUUGUGUCAGCCCUAAAGAUAGCUCUGCUCUCCGUCUUAGCAGAACAUUGGUUGGGACCACUUCUUCUCUGAGUUCAUGUUGCCUUUUCUAUUGUCUGAUGCUUGUCAAUCAAGUCUGCACUAGGCUCUGGUAUCAACAAGAUAUUUCCACUCAGAACUUCCACUCAUUAAAUAUCAGGUCUGUCUUCCACCAGCCUGAAAUCUUGGAGAUGUAUGUGGGUGAAAAUCACUGGUGACCUGUAAUUUCUAAAUUACUCAGGCUUAUGUUUUGAAUGCAGGAUCCAUUAAAUUCACCUCAAUAACAUUUAUUCUCCAUUCUGAUUCUCUAUUUGAACAUAAGCAGCUCAUCUAGAAGCCUGAUUACAAUAAUGCUGCUCUCUGAUUGGCUAUGUCAUUUUGCAUUUUUGAACAUUUCAAGUUGAUCUGAUGAAGUGGGCUGUCAUUGCAUGUAUUAAUAUUGUAUUAUGAACAAUCACUGUAUAUUUGCAUUUUUGAUGAGUCUUAAUUUGACAUAUUUCUUUUACAGCUGGGUGAGACGCUUAAAGUUCUUUUUCCAAAGCUGGAAACUAUUACAGGGGGUUGGCUGCUUUACAAAUCUGCAGGUGGAUGGGGAAGACGCAAUUUGACCUUGAUUGGUCCUGAAGAUGAUGGCUAUACCGGGACAAUGUUGAAGGUUGCGAGUCGCGGCGGGAAAACCCUGUUCAUAGUCCCUAUUCAGGAACAACUUUGCACGGAUCCUCUUGAGCUGAAUGACGAGGCAUUUGCAAACAUGCCAAAGGCCAUGUGUCAGAAAUGCAGAGUAGAUGUUCCCUUGCAUUUUUUGACUGACCACAUAAAGUCAUGUGUGGAAACAGACUUGCCCUCUGAUGUGGCUGGUGUUGAUGUUUGCAACCCUGCAAAGGACAUAUCAAUGCAAGAGUGUCCGGUGUGUGCAAACAUAUAUCCUACUGAGGACAUAGAAGUACAUGCUUCUUCUUGUGGAGAAAUAAGUACAGGACCUCAUUCCACAGAAGAAAUGAAUGAAACAAUGCCUGGGCCAUCUACAUUAUAUUCUUCAGGCAGUGAUGACUGGUAUACCAUAUGCGAUGCUUCAAAGGCCAUUUCUCGCUGUGCAGACCAUUUCCUCCAAAUACAUGCAAUGGAGAACCCCUUGCUGUUGAAGAUGGACUUAAGAGACAGCCCUGCAGAAAAAGACAUGGCUCUGAUUUCCUUCUAUAAGCGACCAAAUGUGCAAUGGGCAU